This is a long non-coding RNA of Scylla paramamosain (green mud crab), 1041 nucleotides long. RefSeq lists it as uncharacterized. The transcript is spliced from 2 exons. The record is from RefSeq and is a predicted model, not a curated record. Lineage: Eukaryota; Metazoa; Arthropoda; Malacostraca; Decapoda; Portunidae.
UUGGAAGAGCUAUCAGUCACUUGGUACUGGUGCGGAUGGUCCCAAGAACUCUGUAUAUUAAUAUACAGAGUCCUUGAUGGACUGAUGGUAUUCAUUAUAGGCCUUCAGUCAGAUGGUCCUCAUGACAGAUCGGCCUGAAUGCAAAUAGGCCUCAGGGCGUUUGGUACUUGAGACAUAGGUGUCGCAACUAUCGUUCCAGCAGGAGAAAAUUAGCGGUUGUGGGAAUAAAUUAAAUUAAAAUAUAACAAUCCACCGUGACGAGUGGAUGAAACAAUGAGGAUCCGAGUCGAGCGGGUUCACCAUUCCGGAGCCGCUUGACAAGCGGGGAUUCAGUCAACUUCCCAACAGCUGCUAGAGAACAUGGCCGCUCCUUCAUUAUAUUAACCAGCAGACACUUUGCACCCCAUUAUCACUGGCCAAGCCCACACCUCCAUGAUGGCAGUGGUGGUGGCAGCACUCACCAAACACUGGCUCAUUGGCACAGCCUUUGAGUCGCACGCCCCGGGAGGUCGGCUCAAUCAGGAAGUGGCGCACCAGCUCAUUGGCUGGGUCGCUGGACUUGCUGGCCACAUUAGGUGGUGGGGUGGACACCUUGAGGGCGAGACCAAAGGCUCCAGGGAAGGAGUUGGAGUCUCGGACGACGAAUGUGCCAGGUGCCUUGUCUCUUAGCAUGGAAAUGGCUGCAACACAGAGAAGAAUAUAAAUAUAUGAAAGGAUAUUACCAUGAUAGAUUAUUUAAUUUAUAAUUGAGUCUAUCUGUAUUUGGGACAAAUAUUAGGUAUAUUUAUAUCAGGUUUUUUAUCAAGUUUGUGUUUAUUUUACAAUUUUUUAGCUCUAUUUAUUUUAAAUUUUUGUUUUGAGUUUAUUUUACAUUUUUUGUUAAUUUCAGUUUGAGUUUAUUGUAUUUUCUUCUUUUAGAUCUUUGUUCAGUUCUUUAUUGAUAUGAGAAUCUGAGUGCAACAAAGGCCUAGCAAUGUUGGAAUAACACAUACAUUACAAAAUUGUGCAUCAUCAGAAAUAAUAAAAAAUAAAAUCCUACAA